Lonchura striata (white-rumped munia) is the source of this 286-nucleotide non-coding RNA. Lineage: Eukaryota; Metazoa; Chordata; Aves; Passeriformes; Estrildidae. The record is from RefSeq and is a predicted model, not a curated record.
GGCUCCUGAGGCCCCGGGGGGCUCCUGCCACGGACCCAAAGCAUCCCCGUGCUGGUGAAACCCUCGCUGCUUCUCUGCCUGGAUCGUGGAACAUGCUUGUGGGCAGGCUGAGGAUAUCCAGGUGCUCCCCAAUACCCUGUGACAGAGUUACGAAAAUUCCUCCAUUUCCGAUCUUUUCUCUGAGACAAUGCACUAACCCUCAGUCCUGUCACCUCCAAAAGCUUCAUCAAUUUUGACUUAAUUUUCAGUUUGGAAAAUGGCACAAAAUAAAUUCUUCUAUGCCACA